RNAcentral lists this ribosomal RNA (497 nucleotides) under uncultured bacterium. RNAcentral's name for it is "partial 16S ribosomal RNA". It matches the Rfam family "Bacterial small subunit ribosomal RNA", at positions 28 to 507 of the family's 1533-position model. The record is from RNAcentral.
GACGAACGCUGGCGGCGUGCCUAAUACAUGCAAGUAGGACGCUGAAGAGAGGAGCUUGCUCUUCUUGGAUGAGUUGCGAACGGGUGAGUAACGCGUAGGUAACCUGCCUGGUAGCGGGGGAUAACUAUUGGAAACGAUAGCUAAUACCGCAUAAAAUGGAUUAUCGCAUGAUAAUCCAUUGAAAGGUGCAAAUGCAUCACUACCAGAUGGACCUGCGUUGUAUUAGCUAGUUGGUGGGGUAACGGCUCACCAAGGCGACGAUACAUAGCCGACCUGAGAGGGUGAUCGGCCACACUGGGACUGAGACACGGCCCAGACUCCUACGGGAGGCAGCAGUAGGGAAUCUUCGGCAAUGGACGGAAGUCUGACCGAGCAACGCCGCGUGAGUGAAGAAGGGUUUCGGAUCGUAAAGCUCUGUUGUAAGAGAAGAACGAGUGUGAGAGUGGAAAGUUCACACUGUGACGGUAUCUUACCAGAAAGGGACGGCUAACUACGUG